Molecule: ribosomal RNA, 497 nt
Filed under: uncultured bacterium
Lineage: Bacteria
Description: partial 16S ribosomal RNA
Rfam family: Bacterial small subunit ribosomal RNA
Source: RNAcentral
GAUGAACGCUGGCGGCGUGCCUAAUACAUGCAAGUCGAGCGAACGGACGAGAAGCUUGCUUCUCUGAUGUUAGCGGCGGACGGGUGAGUAACACGUGGAUAACCUACCUAUAAGACUGGGAUAACUUCGGGAAACCGGAUCUAAUACCGGAUAAUAUUUUGAACCGCAUGGUUCAAAAGUGAUAGACCGUCUUGCUGUCACUAAGAGAUGUAUCCGCGCUGCAUUAGCUAGUUGGUAAGGUAACGGCUUACCAAGGCAACGAUGCAUAGCCGACCUGAGAGGGUGAUCGGCCACACUGGAACUGAGACACGGUCCAGACUCCUACGGGAGGCAGCAGUAGGGAAUCUUCCGCAAUGGGCGAAAGCCUGACGGAGCAACGCCGCGUGAGUGAUGAAGGUCUUCGGAUCGUAAAACUCUGUUAUUAGGGAAGAACAUAUGUGUAAGUAAAUGUGCACAUCUUGACGGUACCUAAUCAGAAAGCCACGGCUAACUACGUG